Molecule: ribosomal RNA, 433 nt
Filed under: uncultured bacterium
Lineage: Bacteria
Description: partial 16S ribosomal RNA
Rfam family: Bacterial small subunit ribosomal RNA
Source: RNAcentral
AGCGAACGCUGGCGGCAGGCCUAACACAUGCAAGUCGAACGAACUCUUCGGAGUUGUUGGCGGACGGGUGAGUAACACGUGGGAACGUGCCUUUAGGUUCGGAAUAACUCAGGGAAACUUGUGCUAAUACCGAAUGUGCCCUUCGGGGGAAAGAUUUAUCGCCUUUAGAGCGGCCCGCGUCUGAUUAGCUAGUUGGUGAGGUAAAGGCUCACCAAGGCGACGAUCAGUAGCUGGUCUGAGAGGAUGAUCAGCCACAUUGGGACUGAGACACGGCCCAAACUCCUACGGGAGGCAGCAGUGGGGAAUCUUGCGCAAUGGGCGAAAGCCUGACGCAGCCAUGCCGCGUGAAUGAUGAAGGUCUUAGGAUUGUAAAAUUCUUUCACCGGGGACGAUAAUGACGGUACCCGGAGAAGAAGCCCCGGCUAACUUCGUG